UUUUAACCACAAGCAGAUUACGGCGCUGGGGCCUUGUCAGCAAAAUUUUACCAAGGGAUUUGGGGUUGUCAGCUCGAUGACGCGCAGUCCUUGCGAGCGGCUGUGAAACGGCACCCGGGCGGGCCUGGGGGGAUACUGCGGACAAAAUGGAGGAGCACCGCGACGGGCGCGCUGCCGAGGGCCAGGCCGCGCGGAAGGCUGCCCUGCACUGUGCCCUCGCUGCCAGUCCACGCGGCGCCCGAACGCCGCACGGGGGCCAGGGCCGUGCCGAGCAGGCCGCCCUGCUCAGGAGGAUAAGUGAACAAAUGCACCCUUUUCCAGUUUUUCCUCAAGCCACCUUGAGCUAAAGGUUCCUGUCGUAACCUGGGCCUCCUGGACGUUUGACGUUCAGUCUUCACAUAUUUCAAAGGUUUCUGCAGGGAAAAUGGUGCCACCGCCGGGCCGGGCGUUGUGCAGAGUCAUUCUUGCUGCCUGGCACCCAACAAGUGCUGGAUGGGGUCAGUCGACUUGGAGUACCAUGUUCGCGCGUGUUCUUAUCCAUGUAAUGACCUUUCUUUGAUGAUCUUUGAAUGCCUUUCUGCAAUCCCAAUAAAAUACACAGUUUAUGACUUG
Manis javanica (Malayan pangolin) is the source of this 612-nucleotide non-coding RNA. Lineage: Eukaryota; Metazoa; Chordata; Mammalia; Pholidota; Manidae. The record is from RefSeq and is a predicted model, not a curated record.